AUUUUUCACCGCAAGAAAGAAGCUAUCAAGAGAUUCUAAGGCGAUUAACAUGAGAGAUAGAAAAUUCAAAGUCCGAGUCGAAGAUUAAAGAAGAAGAAAUUAAUUUUUCACUUUUCAAUUAUUGUUUUCAAUUCUGGGUGAUGUUUCUCCAAUUUUUUUUGUGUGAUUUGUUAGAUAAUAUGCUAGGCCAAUUACUUUCAUGUAUUG
Molecule: long non-coding RNA, 207 nt
Filed under: Olea europaea (common olive)
Lineage: Eukaryota; Viridiplantae; Streptophyta; Magnoliopsida; Lamiales; Oleaceae
Description: long non-coding RNA (OEUR_LNC005738)
Source: RNAcentral